This 1447-nucleotide ribosomal RNA is filed under the name uncultured bacterium. RNAcentral's name for it is "bacterial SSU rRNA". It matches the Rfam family "Bacterial small subunit ribosomal RNA". The record is from RNAcentral.
GAACGCUAGCGGCAGGCUUAACACAUGCAAGUCGAGGGGCAGCGGGGAGGAAGCUUGCUUUCUCCGCCGGCGACCGGCGCACGGGUGAGUAACACGUAUGCAACCUGCCCCUGUCAGGGGGACAACCCGCCGAAAGGCGGGCUAAACCCGCGUACAUGCCACCGGGGCAUCCCGGAGGCAGGAAAGGCUUCGGCCGGACAGGGAUGGGCAUGCGGCGCAUUAGGCAGAAGGCGGGGUAACGGCCCACCUAACCGACGAUGCGUAGGGGUUCUGAGAGGAAGGUCCCCCACACUGGUACUGAGACACAGACCAGACUCCUACGGGAGGCAGCAGUGAGGAAUAUUGGUCAAUGGUCGGGAGACUGAACCAGCCAAGCCGCGUGAGGGAGGAAGGUACAGAGUAUCGUAAACCUCUUUUGUCAGGGAACAAAGACUGGGACGCGUCCCCGGAUGAGUGUACCUGAAGAAAAAGCAUCGGCUAACUCCGUGCCAGCAGCCGCGGUAAUACGGAGGAUGCGAGCGUUAUCCGGAUUUAUUGGGUUUAAAGGGUGCGCAGGCGGUCUGUUAAGUCAGCGGUCAAAGCCCGGGGCUCAACCCCGGCCCGCCGUUGAAACUGGCAGUCUCGAGUUGGAGAGAAGUAUGCGGAAUGCGCGGUGUAGCGGUGAAAUGCAUAGAUAUCGCGCAGAACUCCGAUUGCGAAGGCAGCAUGCCGGCUCCACACUGACGCUGAGGCACGAAAGCGUGGGUAUCGAACAGGAUUAGAUACCCUGGUAGUCCACGCAGUAAACGAUGAAUGCUGGCUGUCCGGGGGGACUGACCCCUGGGUGGCGAAGCGAAGGCGAUAAGCAUUCCACCUGGGGAGUACGCCGGCAACGGUGAAACUCAAGGGAAUUGACGGGGGCCCGCACAAGCGGAGGAACAUGUGGUUUAAUUCGAUGAUACGCGAGGAACCUUACCCGGGCUCAAACGGGGAGUGACUCAGGCAGAGACGCCUGUUUCCCACGGGACACUCCCCGAGGUGCUGCAUGGUUGUCGUCAGCUCGUGCCGUGAGGUGUCGGCUUAAGUGCCAUAACGAGCGCAACCCCCGCGUGCAGUUGCUAACAGAUAACGCUGAGGACUCUGCACGGACUGCCGGCGCAAGCCGCGAGGAAGGCGGGGAUGACGUCAAAUCAGCACGGCCCUUACGUCCGGGGCGACACACGUGUUACAAUGGGUGGUACAGCGGGAAGCCAGGCGGCGACGCCGAGCGGAACCCGAAAUCCACUCUCAGUUCGGAUCGGAGUCUGCAACCCGACUCCGUGAAGCUGGAUUCGCUAGUAAUCGCGCAUCAGCCAUGGCGCGGUGAAUACGUUCCCGGGCCUUGUACACACCGCCCGUCAAGCCAUGGGAGCCGAGGGCGCUUGAAGUGCGUCGCCGCGAGGCGCGCCCUAGAGCGAAAUCGGUGACU